Molecule: ribosomal RNA, 243 nt
Filed under: uncultured bacterium
Lineage: Bacteria
Description: partial 16S ribosomal RNA
Rfam family: Bacterial small subunit ribosomal RNA
Source: RNAcentral
CCGAGCGGCGGACGGGUGAGUAACGCGUGGGUAACCUGCCUCAUACAGGGGGAUAACAGUCAGAAAUGACUGCUAAUACCGCAUAAGACCACGGUACCGCAUGGUACAGUGGUAAAAACUCCGGUGGUAUGAGAUGGACCCGCGUCUGAUUAGGUAGUUGGUGGGGUAACGGCCUACCAAGCCGACGAUCAGUAGCCGACCUGAGAGGGUGACCGGCCACAUUGGGACUGAGACACGGCCCAG